CCCUUAGAUGUCCGGGGCUGCACGCGCGCUACACUGAAGGAAUCAGCGUGCUAAAACCAUUGUCGAAAGGCAUUGGUAAACCCAUUAAAAUCCUACGUGAUUGGGAUCGGGAAUUGCAAUUAUUUCCCUUGAACGAGGAAUUCCCAGUAAGUGUGGGUCAUAAGCUCGCGUUGAUUACGUCUCUGCCCUUUGUACACACCGCCCGUCGCUGCCCGGGACUGAGCCGUUUCGAGAAAAGCGGGGACUGCUGCUGUCGGGGCUUUCGGGCCUUGGCUUCGGUGGAAACCGCUUUAAUCGCAGUGGCUUGAACCGGGCAAAANUCGUANCA
RNAcentral lists this ribosomal RNA (328 nucleotides) under uncultured eukaryote. Its description in RNAcentral is "partial 18S ribosomal RNA". It matches the Rfam family "Eukaryotic small subunit ribosomal RNA", at positions 1470 to 1796 of the family's 1831-position model. The record is from RNAcentral.